This 502-nucleotide ribosomal RNA is filed under the name Salmonella enterica. RNAcentral describes it as "bacterial SSU rRNA". It matches the Rfam family "Bacterial small subunit ribosomal RNA", at positions 1 to 492 of the family's 1533-position model. The record is from RNAcentral. Lineage: Bacteria; Pseudomonadati; Pseudomonadota; Gammaproteobacteria; Enterobacterales; Enterobacteriaceae.
AAAUUGAAGAGUUUGAUCAUGGCUCAGAUUGAACGCUGGCGGCAGGCCUAACACAUGCAAGUCGAACGGUAACAGGAAGCAGCUUGCUGCUUUGCUGACGAGUGGCGGACGGGUGAGUAAUGUCUGGGAAACUGCCUGAUGGAGGGGGAUAACUACUGGAAACGGUGGCUAAUACCGCAUAAUGUCGCAAGACCAAAGAGGGGGACCUUCGGGCCUCUUGCCAUCAGAUGUGCCCAGAUGGGAUUAGCUUGUUGGUGAGGUAACGGCUCACCAAGGCGACGAUCCCUAGCUGGUCUGAGAGGAUGACCAGCCACACUGGAACUGAGACACGGUCCAGACUCCUACGGGAGGCAGCAGUGGGGAAUAUUGCACAAUGGGCGCAAGCCUGAUGCAGCCAUGCCGCGUGUAUGAAGAAGGCCUUCGGGUUGUAAAGUACUUUCAGCGGGGAGGAAGGUGUUGUGGUUAAUAACCGCAGCAAUUGACGUUACCCGCAGAAGAAGCA